Molecule: long non-coding RNA, 581 nt
Filed under: Solanum tuberosum (potato)
Lineage: Eukaryota; Viridiplantae; Streptophyta; Magnoliopsida; Solanales; Solanaceae
Description: long non-coding RNA (STUB_LNC010992)
Source: RNAcentral
AAUUGAUUCAUCAAGUUCCAUGGAUUCAAGAAGAGUCUUUUCGGAACCAUCCAUAUAGCGGUGGCGGCGGAGAUCUGGAACCCGACAGGAAAACCGCCCGAGCCCUAAAUCAAAAUCACAAGAAAAUCAAAAAAAAUUGUUUAAAAGACUAAAAAUCUGAAAUACAUAAAUAUUUGAUGAUUAUAUAACCAAACUCACAUUCUACUAAAUCUGAAACACUAAAACAAAAUCACAAGAAAAUCGAAAAAAUUUAUUUAAAAGACUAAAAAUCUGAAACACAUAAAUAUUUGAUGAUUAUCUAACCAAACUCACAUAAAAAUCGAAAAAAUUGACGGAAAAUUCGUAAUAUAUAAAACCCGAAAUACAAGAUAAUCGGUGAUUUUAAAAAUAAAAUCAAUGUAAAUAUUACUAAAUAAUCAAAAUUACCUUUAACAAUUGAGAUAUUUCUUGAGUUAAGUUAGAGAUUUGUUGAACAAAUUAGGAAAAUCAUUCAUAAUUUGUAUUUCUUGACCUGCAAAGAAAUUUGAAGAAAGAGAAAAUAUAAAACUUGAAUGAUGGGGGAAAAGAAACGUGAAUGAUGG